GACGAACGCUGGCGGCGUGCUUAACACAUGCAAGUCGAACGGAAAGGCCUGCUUUCCCUUGUGGAUUGCGGGUACUCGAGUGGCGAACGGGUGAGUAACACGUGAGUGAUCUUCCCCCAACUUGGGUAUAAGCCUGGGAAACUGGGUCUAAUUACCGAUAGGACUGCAGGGUGGUGUCUGUGGUGGAAAACGAAUUUCUAGUGGUUGGGGAUGAGCUCGCGGCCUAUCAGCUUGUUGGUGGGGUAAUGGCCGACCAAGGCGGCGGCGGGUAGCCGGCCUGGGAGGGUGGACGGGCACAUUGGGACUGGGAUACGGCCCAGACGCCUACGGGAGUCAGCAGUGGGGAAUAAUGGACGAUGGUCGGAAGCCGGAAGCAGCGACGCGGGGUGGGGGAUUACGGCCUUCGGGGUGUAAACUCCUUUCGACCGCGAGGAAGCCACCUGGUUGGAAGGGUGGUGACGGUAGUGGAAGAAGAAGCACCGGCUAACUACGUG
This 494-nucleotide ribosomal RNA is filed under the name uncultured bacterium. RNAcentral's name for it is "partial 16S ribosomal RNA". It matches the Rfam family "Bacterial small subunit ribosomal RNA", at positions 28 to 507 of the family's 1533-position model. The record is from RNAcentral.